RNAcentral lists this ribosomal RNA (3013 nucleotides) under Actinomyces minihominis. Its description in RNAcentral is "bacterial LSU rRNA". It matches the Rfam family "Bacterial large subunit ribosomal RNA". Lineage: Bacteria; Bacillati; Actinomycetota; Actinomycetes; Actinomycetales; Actinomycetaceae. The record is from RNAcentral.
UGGGCGUUCGGUGGAUGCCUUGGUAUCAAGAGCUGAUGAAAGACGUGGCGGUCUGCGAUAUGCCUCGGGGAGUUGACGAGCGAGUGUUGAUCCGGGGAUUUCUGAAUGGGGUGACCCAGCACCUGUAAUGGGGUGUUACCUGCUGGUGAGUUGAGUAGCCAGUAUGGGAGGAACGUGGGGAAGUGAAACAUCUUAGUACCCAUAGGAAGAGAUAUUCCGUUAGUAGUGGCGAGCGAAAGCGGAUGAUGGCUAAACCGUGUGUGUGUGAUACUCAGCGAGGGUUGCGCAUGCGGUGUUGUGGGGCCAGACAUGAUACAUACUUCUUCGCUGGGAAGUAUGGCUGGUGCGUGCAUGGAGUUGAACAGCCUGGGAUGGUUGACCGGAGAGCGUGAUAGUCGCGUAGGUGGUUUGUGUGCGUGUUGGUUUGGUUUGGUGCCCGAGUAGCGCGGGGCUCGUGAAAUCCUGCGUGAAUCUGCCAAGACCACUUGGUAAGCCUGAAUACUUCUUGAUAACCGAUAGUGAAUAGUACCGUGAGGGAAUGGUGAAAAGUACCCCGGGAGGGGAGUGAAAUAGUUCCUGAAACCGGAUGCCUUUAAGCCGUCAGAGCCUUAUGCGCAGCUUUGGUUGUGUGGGGGUGAUGGCGUGCCUUUUGAAGAAUGAGCCUGCGAGUUAGUGGCAUGUGGCUUGCUUAACCCGUUGUGGGGUAGGCGUAGCGAAAGCGAGUCUGAAUAGGGCGUUUUUGGUCGCGUGUUCUAGACCCGAAGCGGAGUGAUCUACCCAUGGCCAGGUUGAAGCAGUGGUAAGACGCUGUGGAGGACCGAACCCACCUAGGUUGAAAACUGGGGGGAUGAGCUGUGGGUAGGGGUGAAAGGCUAAUCAAACUCCGUGAUAGCUGGUUCUCCCCGAAAUGCAUUUAGGUGCAGCGUCGUUUGUUGCCUGGUGGUGGUAGAGCACUGGUUGGUUAAUGGGCCCUUUGGGUUACUGAGAUCAGCUAAACUCCGAAUGCCAUUAGUGUUAGGACGGCAGUGAGACUGUGGGGGAUAAGCUUCAUAGUCGAAAGGGAAACAGCCCAGAUCACCGGUUAAGGCCCCUAAGUGUGUGCUGAGUGGGAAAGGAUGUGGAGUUGCAGUGACAACCAGGAGGUUGGCUUAGAAGCAGCCAUCCUUGAAAGAGUGCGUAAUAGCUCACUGGUCAAGUGAUUCCGCGCCGACAAUGUAGCGGGGCUGAAGUACACCGCCGAAACCGUGACAUCAAAACAUUUGUUUUGUUGGGUAGGGGAGCGUCCCUCAUGAGGUGAAGCAGCAGUGUGAACUGGCUGUGGAUUGUGGGGGAGUGAGAAUGCAGGCAUGAGUAGCGAUUUGAGGGGUGGGAAUCCCCUCCGCCGUAUAACUAAGGGUUCCAGGGCUAGGUUUAUCCUCCCUGGGUUAGUCGGGUCCUAAGGCGAGGCCGACAGGCGUAGUCGAUGGAUAACCAGUUGAUAUUCUGGUACCGGCUUUUGAUCCGUCCAACAUCAUUUACAGCAGUGAGUACUUGCCACUGGCAUGAUAAGGUUUUGGGCCCUUUCGGGGGUUUGAUACUGGUUUGUGUUUAGUCGUUUGUGUGAGCGUGUUUAUGGUGAGCGUGUUAACAGGGGUGACGCAAAGUGGUAGCUGCUGCACACCGGUGGUUGUGUGUGUCUAAGCGUGUGGCCUGUUCCUAGGUAAACCCGGGAACUUUAUAGGUGAGGCGUGAUGGGAACCCCUUUUUUGGGGUUUAGUGGUGAGCCUGUUUUGUCAAGAAAAGCCUCGACGUGAGGGUCAAAGCCGCCCGUACCCUAAACCGACACAGGUAGUUAGGUAGAGAAUACUAAGGCGUGCGAGUGAAUCAUGGUUAAGGAACUCGGCAAAAUGCCCCCGUAACUUCGGAAGAAGGGGGACCCUUGGGGGUGAACCACCUUAGCGGUGGCGAGCGUCUAGGGGUCGCAGAGGAUAGAGAGAAGCGACUGUUUAUUAAAAACAUAGGUGCGUGCUAAGCCGUAAGGCGCUGUAUACGCACUGACGCCUGCCCGGUGCUGGAAGGUUAAGAGGAAAGGUCAACACAUUUUUGUGUGAAGCUUUGAAUUGAAGCCCCAGUAAACGGCGGUGGUAACUAUAACCAUCCUAAGGUAGCGAAAUUCCUUGUCGGGUAAGUUCCGACCUGCACGAAUGGCGUAACGACUUCUCUACUGUCUCAACCAUGAGCUCGGUGAAAUUGCACUACGAGUAAAGAUGCUCGUUACGCGCAGCAGGACGGAAAGACCCCGGGACCUUUACUAUAGCUUGGUAUUGGUGUUCGUUAGUGUUUGUGUAGGAUAGGUGGGAGACUAUGAGACUGGCACGCUAGUGUUAGUGGAGUCAUUGGUGAAAUACCACUCUGAUAUUAAUGUGCAUCUAACCUCGAAUCCUGAUCGGGUUUGGGGACAGUGCCUGGUGGGUAGUUUAACUGGGGCGGUUGCCUCCUAAAUGGUAACGGAGGCGCUCAAAGGUUCCCUCAGCCUGGUUGGUAACCAGGUGUUGAGUGUAAGUGUAAAAGGGAGCUUGACUGUGAGACUGACAAGUCGAGCAGGGACGAAAGUCGGAACUAGUGAUCCGGCCACGGCUUGUGGAAGCGUGGUCGCUCAACGGAUAAAAGGUACCCCGGGGAUAACAGGCUGAUCCUGCCCAAGAGUCCAUAUCGACGGCAUGGUUUGGCACCUCGAUGUCGGCUCGUCGCAUCCUGGGGGUGGAGUCGCUCCCAAGGGUUGGGCUGUUCGCCCAUUAAAGCGGUACGCGAGCUGGGUUUAGAACGUCGUGAGACAGUUCGGUCCCUAUCCGCUGCGCGCGCAGGAAACUUGUAGAGAUCUAUCCCUAGUACGAGAGGACCGGGACGGACGAACCUCUGGUAUACCAGUUGUCCCGCCAGGGGCACCGCUGGUUGGCUACGUUCGGGUUGGAUAACCGCUGAAAGCAUCUAAGCGGGAAGCCAUCUCUGAGAUUAGGUUUCCAACACACUUUGG